This 60-nucleotide non-coding RNA is filed under the name Isochrysis galbana. The record is from RNAcentral. Lineage: Eukaryota; Haptophyta; Isochrysidales; Isochrysidaceae.
UGCAGGAACAACGUGCACUUCUCGGCCUCCGGGGACGCCGUCUACCCCGCCGCAGCGGUG